AGUUGCAACAAUCUAGGGUUUGCUUUGCUCGUUCGGUCUGGCGAUUCUGGGCGACGGCUGGGCAACAACUGAGAAGGAUGGUUCCACUGCUGUUUUCGGCCGAUCUCUUCGACGAUCUCUAACCAGAUAUGAAGUGUGUUGAUGCUCUCUUAAAGGCCACAUGUACUGUUAUGAAGAUGAUGUGUCGUUGCCAUUGUCAUCCACUUUAUGAACUUCUUAUCAAUUUUUACUGACAAUUAUGUAUUGUUAAUGCUUUGUUCUAAACAUUUUAUGUACAACUUAAACUUGUUUAAUUUGUUGGUUGAAUAUUUAAAGACUUGUAAAUGGUAUACACUCUAUUUCAAUUAUGCUUUCAGUUGGGUUUGUUUUUAUUUUAAUGUUGUGUUAGACUAUAUAGGUAACAGGAUAAUAAAAUUGAAGCAGGUUAUUGCAAAGAA
Cornus florida is the source of this 437-nucleotide long non-coding RNA. RefSeq lists it as uncharacterized. The record is from RefSeq and is a predicted model, not a curated record. Lineage: Eukaryota; Viridiplantae; Streptophyta; Magnoliopsida; Cornales; Cornaceae. The transcript is spliced from 2 exons.